This 1371-nucleotide ribosomal RNA is filed under the name uncultured bacterium. Its description in RNAcentral is "bacterial SSU rRNA". It matches the Rfam family "Bacterial small subunit ribosomal RNA", at positions 28 to 1381 of the family's 1533-position model. The record is from RNAcentral.
GAUGAACGCUGGCGGCGUGCCUAAUACAUGCAAGUCGAGCGAACGGACGAGAAGCUUGUUUCUCUGAUGUUAGCGGCGGACGGGUGAGUAACACGUGGAUAACCUACCUAUAAGACUGGGAUAACUUCGGGAAACCGGAGCUAAUACCGGAUAAUAUUUUGAACCGCAUGGUUCAAAAGUGAAAGACGGUCUUGCUGUCACUUAUAGAUGGAUCCGCGCUGCAUUAGCUAGUUGGUAAGGUAACGGCUUACCAAGGCAACGAUGCAUAGCCGACCUGAGAGGGUGAUCGGCCACACUGGAACUGAGACACGGUCCAGACUCCUACGGGAGGCAGCAGUAGGGAAUCUUCCGCAAUGGGCGAAAGCCUGACGGAGCAACGCCGCGUGAGUGAUGAAGGUCUUCGGAUCGUAAAACUCUGUUAUUAGGGAAGAACAUAUGUGUAAGUAACUGUGCACAUCUUGACGGUACCUAAUCAGAAAGCCACGGCUAACUACGUGCCAGCAGCCGCGGUAAUACGUAAGUGGCAAGCGUUAUCCGGAAUUAUUGGGCGUAAAGCGCGCGUAGGCGGUUUUUUAGUCUGAUGUGAAAGCCCACGGCUCAACCGUGGAGGGUCAUUGGAAACUGGAAAACUUGAGUGCAGAAGAGGAAAGUGGAAUUCCAUGUGUAGCGGUGAAAUGCGCAGAGAUAUGGAGGAACACCAGUGGCGAAGGCGACUUUCUGGUCUGUAACUGACGCUGAUGUGCGAAAGCGUGGGGAUCAAACAGGAUUAGAUACCCUGGUAGUCCACGCCGUAAACGAUGAGUGCUAAGUGUUAGGGGGUUUCCGCCCCUUAGUGCUGCAGCUAACGCAUUAAGCACUCCGCCUGGGGAGUACGACCGCAAGGUUGAAACUCAAAGGAAUUGACGGGGACCCGCACAAGCGGUGGAGCAUGUGGUUUAAUUCGAAGCAACGCGAAGAACCUUACCAAAUCUUGACAUCCUUUGACAACUCUAGAGAUAGAGCCUUCCCCUUCGGGGGACAAAGUGACAGGUGGUGCAUGGUUGUCGUCAGCUCGUGUCGUGAGAUGUUGGGUUAAGUCCCGCAACGAGCGCAACCCUUAAGCUUAGUUGCCAUCAUUAAGUUGGGCACUCUAAGUUGACUGCCGGUGACAAACCGGAGGAAGGUGGGGAUGACGUCAAAUCAUCAUGCCCCUUAUGAUUUGGGCUACACACGUGCUACAAUGGACAAUACAAAGGGCAGCGAAACCGCGAGGUCAAGCAAAUCCCAUAAAGUUGUUCUCAGUUCGGAUUGUAGUCUGCAACUCGACUACAUGAAGCUGGAAUCGCUAGUAAUCGUAGAUCAGCAUGCUACGGUGAAUACGUUCCCGGGUCU